CACAGACAGUCACCAUGUAGGAAGCCAGAGGAGUAAGAAGUCUGGACCAUGUUCUCUGGAACAAGGCUGGCACUGCACGAAGAGAUGCGGCUGUGUCUAAAACAGGGAGGAGCAGAGAGCCACAACCAAUCUUUUUAAAGGUUUCAAAGCGCAUGGAGCAUGGAUUAUGAAGUGAUGUUUAAGCAGAAAAAUGUGUCAUUUGAGAGGACGUUUUGGCAUUCCUGAGGAUACCCUGCUGAUUAAAACCGAGGGAAGAGAAGCUCUGUGCACGACUAAAGACGCAGCUACAGGGCCUAAGCCAUCUUGCUUUUUGCUCUGCUCAUUUUGGCGUUCAGUGUUUUCUUUUUUUUCAAUGCUGUCUGAAAGCUUAAAUUAAAUAACAAUAUGAAAACUAAA
Long non-coding RNA from Mesocricetus auratus (golden hamster), 396 nucleotides. RefSeq lists it as uncharacterized. The record is from RefSeq and is a predicted model, not a curated record. The transcript is spliced from 3 exons. NCBI's taxonomy places the organism in Eukaryota, Metazoa, Chordata, Mammalia, Rodentia, Cricetidae.